GACAUUAUACAUGUUCAGAUCCUCU
This 25-nucleotide small nuclear RNA is filed under the name Arabidopsis thaliana (thale cress). RNAcentral describes it as "snRNA_07852". The record is from RNAcentral. Lineage: Eukaryota; Viridiplantae; Streptophyta; Magnoliopsida; Brassicales; Brassicaceae.